CGGGAGGUAGCUCAGCCUGGCAGAGCUUCCGGCUGUAGACCGGACCGUCGCAGGUUCAAAUCCUGCCCUCCCGACCA
RNAcentral lists this transfer RNA (77 nucleotides) under Candidatus Bathyarchaeota archaeon. RNAcentral describes it as "tRNA-Tyr". It matches the Rfam family "tRNA". Rfam says of the family: Transfer RNA (tRNA) molecules are approximately 80 nucleotides in length. Their secondary structure includes four short double-helical elements and three loops (D, anti-codon, and T loops). Further hydrogen bonds mediate the characteristic L-shaped molecular structure. tRNAs have two regions of fundamental functional importance: the anti-codon, which is responsible for specific mRNA codon recognition, and the 3' end, to which the tRNAs corresponding amino acid is attached (by aminoacyl-tRNA synthetases). tRNAs cope with the degeneracy of the genetic code in two manners: having more than one tRNA (with a specific anti-codon) for a particular amino acid; and 'wobble' base-pairing, i.e. permitting non-standard base-pairing at the 3rd anti-codon position. Lineage: Archaea; Thermoproteati; Candidatus Bathyarchaeota. The record is from RNAcentral.